UGAGGAAUAUUGGUCAAUGGACGGAAGUCUGAACCAGCCACGUAGCGUGCAGGAUGACGGCCCUAUGGGUUGUAAACUGCUUUUGUAUGGGGAUAAAGUUAGGGACGUGUCCCUAUUUGCAGGUACCAUACGAAUAAGGACCGGCUAAUUCCGUGCCAGCAGCCGCGGUCAUACGGAAGGUCCAGGCGUUAUCCGGAUUUAUUGGGUUUAAAGGGAGCGUAGGCUGGAGAUUAAGUGUGUUGUGAAAUGUAGACGCUCAACGUCUGAAUUGCAGCGCAUACUGGUGUCCUUGAGUACGCACAACGUUGGCGGAAUUCGUCGUGUAGCGGUGAAAUGCUUAGAUAUGACGAAGAACUCCGAUUGCGAAGGCAGCUGACGGGAGCGCAACUGACGCUUAAGCUCGAAGGUGCGGGUAUCAAACAG
This 423-nucleotide ribosomal RNA is filed under the name Verrucomicrobiota bacterium. RNAcentral's name for it is "Verrucomicrobia bacterium partial 16S ribosomal RNA". It matches the Rfam family "Bacterial small subunit ribosomal RNA", at positions 355 to 775 of the family's 1533-position model. Lineage: Bacteria; Pseudomonadati; Verrucomicrobiota. The record is from RNAcentral.